This 735-nucleotide ribosomal RNA is filed under the name uncultured Bacteroidales bacterium. RNAcentral's name for it is "bacterial SSU rRNA". It matches the Rfam family "Bacterial small subunit ribosomal RNA", at positions 28 to 750 of the family's 1533-position model. Lineage: Bacteria; Pseudomonadati; Bacteroidota; Bacteroidia; Bacteroidales. The record is from RNAcentral.
GAUGAACGCUAGCUACAGGCUUAACACAUGCAAGUCGAGGGGCAGCAUGGUCUUAGCUUGCUAAGGCUGAUGGCGACCGGCGCACGGGUGAGUAACACGUAUCCAACCUGCCGUCUACUCUUGGCCAGCCUUCUGAAAGGAAGAUUAAUCCAGGAUGGGAUCAUGAGUUCACAUGUCCGCAUGAUUAAAGGUAUUUUCCGGUAGACGAUGGGGAUGCGUUCCAUUAGAUAGUAGGCGGGGUAACGGCCCACCUAGUCAACGAUGGAUAGGGGUUCUGAGAGGAAGGUCCCCCACAUUGGAACUGAGACACGGUCCAAACUCCUACGGGAGGCAGCAGUGAGGAAUAUUGGUCAAUGGGCGAUGGCCUGAACCAGCCAAGUAGCGUGAAGGAUGACUGCCCUAUGGGUUGUAAACUUCUUUUAUAAAGGAAUAAAGUCGGGUAUGCAUACCCGUUUGCAUGUACUUUAUGAAUAAGGAUCGGCUAACUCCGUGCCAGCAGCCGCGGUAAUACGGAGGAUCCGAGCGUUAUCCGGAUUUAUUGGGUUUAAAGGGAGCGUAGAUGGAUGUUUAAGUCAGUUGUGAAAGUUUGCGGCUCAACCGUAAAAUUGCAGUUGAUACUGGAUGUCUUGAGUGCAGUUGAGGCAGGCGGAAUUCGUGGUGUAGCGGUGAAAUGCUUAGAUAUCACGAAGAACUCCGAUUGCGAAGGCAGCCUGCUAAGCUGCAACUGACAUUGAG